Molecule: transfer RNA, 73 nt
Filed under: Zootermopsis nevadensis
Lineage: Eukaryota; Metazoa; Arthropoda; Insecta; Blattodea; Termopsidae
Rfam family: tRNA
About the family: Transfer RNA (tRNA) molecules are approximately 80 nucleotides in length. Their secondary structure includes four short double-helical elements and three loops (D, anti-codon, and T loops).
Source: Rfam by way of RNAcentral
GCCACGGUGGUCUAGCGGUUAUAACGCUGGCCUUGUAAUCCUGGGGUCUCGGGUUCGAAUCCCGGCGGUGCCC